ACGCUGGCGGCGUGCCUAAUACAUGCAAGUCGAGCGGACGAUUCAAAAGCUUGCUUUUGAAUCGUUAGCGGCGGACGGGUGAGUAACACGUGGGCAACCUGCCCUGUAGACGGGGAUAACACCGAGAAAUCGGUGCUAAUACCGGAUAACACGAAAGACCGCAUGGUUUUUCGUUGAAAGGCGGCGCAAGCUGUCGCUACAGGAUGGGCCCGCGGCGCAUUAGCUAGUUGGUGAGGUAACGGCUCACCAAGGCGACGAUGCGUAGCCGACCUGAGAGGGUGAUCGGCCACACUGGGACUGAGACACGGCCCAGACUCCUACGGGAGGCAGCAGUAGGGAAUCUUCCGCAAUGGACGAAAGUCUGACGGAGCAACGCCGCGUGAGCGAAGAAGGCCUUCGGGUCGUAAAGCUCUGUUGUUAGGGAAGAACAAGUACCGCAGUCACUGGUGGUACCUUGACGGUACCUAACGAGAAAGCCACGGCUAACUACGUGCCAGCAGCCGCGGUAAUACGUAGGUGGCAAGCGUUGUCCGGAAUUAUUGGGCGUAAAGCGCGCGCAGGCGGUUCCUUAAGUCUGAUGUGAAAGCCCACGGCUCAACCGUGGAGGGUCAUUGGAAACUGGGGGACUUGAGUGCAGAAGAGGAGAGCGGAAUUCCACGUGUAGCGGUGAAAUGCGUAGAGAUGUGGAGGAA
RNAcentral lists this ribosomal RNA (692 nucleotides) under uncultured organism. RNAcentral's name for it is "SSU rRNA". It matches the Rfam family "Bacterial small subunit ribosomal RNA", at positions 33 to 706 of the family's 1533-position model. The record is from RNAcentral.